GAGUUUGAUCCUGGCUCAGGAUGAACGCUAGCGGCAGGCUUAACACAUGCAAGUCGAGGGGUAGAGGAAGCUUGCUUCCUUGAGACCGGCGCACGGGUGCGUAACGCGUAUGCAAUCUACCUUGUACAGGGGGAUAGCCCAGAGAAAUUUGGAUUAAUACCCCAUAGUGUAAUGAAAUGGCAUCAUUUUAUUACUAAAGUUCCAACGGUACAAGAUGAGCAUGCGUCCCAUUAGCUAGUUGGUGUGGUAACGGCAUACCAAGGCAACGAUGGGUAGGGGUCCUGAGAGGGAGAUCCCCCACACUGGUACUGAGACACGGCCCAAACUCCUACGGGAGGCAGCAGUGGGGAAUAUUGGACAAUGGGCGCAAGCCUGAUCCAGCCAUGCCGCGUGAGUGAUGAAGGCCUUAGGGUUGUAAAGCUCUUUCAGUGGGGACGAUAAUGACGGUACCCGCAGAAGAAGCCCCGGCUAACUUCGUGCCAGCAGCCGCUGUAAG
This 496-nucleotide ribosomal RNA is filed under the name uncultured Flavobacterium sp. Its description in RNAcentral is "bacterial SSU rRNA". It matches the Rfam family "Bacterial small subunit ribosomal RNA", at positions 9 to 524 of the family's 1533-position model. The record is from RNAcentral. Lineage: Bacteria; Pseudomonadati; Bacteroidota; Flavobacteriia; Flavobacteriales; Flavobacteriaceae.